This 435-nucleotide long non-coding RNA is filed under the name Lathyrus oleraceus (garden pea). Its description in RNAcentral is "Pisum sativum (pea) long non-coding RNA (PSAT_LNC031883)". The record is from RNAcentral. Lineage: Eukaryota; Viridiplantae; Streptophyta; Magnoliopsida; Fabales; Fabaceae.
GCUGGUGUAAAUGUAAAGGGAUAUUUUGCAUGGUCUUUCUUGGACAAUUUUGAAUGGCAUGAGGGUUAUACCAUGAGAUUUGGAAUGAUAUUUGUGGAUUAUAAAAAUGAUUUAAAAAGAUAUCAAAAGCUUUCAGCAUCUUGGUUCAAGAAUUUUCUCACAACAGAUACCAAACUUUACAUAGAUUCAAAUGAUUUAAAAAGAUAUCAAAAGCUUUCAGCAUCUUGGUUCAAGAAUUUUCUCACAACAGAUACCAAACUUUACAUAGAUUCCAUUUAAUAGUGCUACAAAUUUCUUUAUAAACAUUAUAGAUUUAGUUCAUUGUUUGAAUAAUACAAGUAUACAUUUGUAAUUAUAUGUAAUACAUAUUAAUCAUUGAUUCUAUGUUAAUACUGUAAUUACAUUUUUUAUUUUCCAAACAAUAGAUGGAAAUAG